This 295-nucleotide ribosomal RNA is filed under the name Ixodes frontalis. RNAcentral describes it as "partial 16S ribosomal RNA". The record is from RNAcentral. Lineage: Eukaryota; Metazoa; Arthropoda; Arachnida; Ixodida; Ixodidae.
CUGUUAUCCCUAGAGUAUUUUUUUCAUUAAAUCACUAAAUAAUGGAUCCAAAUUAACUUAUUAUUAAAAGAUAGUUAUUCUUUUUCUGUCGCCCCAACAAAAUUAAUAUAAAAUUAAUUACUAAUAUAAAUAUUAAUCUAAAAUUCAUAGGGUCUUCUUGUCCCUAAUUUUUAUUUUUGCUUCCUCACAAAAAAAUUAAAUUUAAUUUUUAAAAUAAAGAAAGUUAUUAAUUGUUAAAUCAUUCUCUUAGCACUCAUUUAAAAUCUUAUUUCAAUACCUUCGUAUAGUCAAAAUA